RNAcentral lists this unclassified non-coding RNA (220 nucleotides) under plant metagenome. RNAcentral describes it as "partial contains small subunit ribosomal RNA, internal transcribed spacer 1, and 5.8S ribosomal RNA". The record is from RNAcentral.
UUUCCGUAGGUGAGCCUGCGGAAGGAUCAUUACAGAGUUCAUGCCCACACGGGUAGAUCUCCCACCCUUGAAUAUUUAUACCUUAGUUGCUUUGGCAGGCCGUGGAAACACCAUGGGCUCCGGCUUAUGCGUGCCUGCCAGAGGAAACAAACUCUGUUUUUAGUGAUGUCUGAGUACUAUAUAAUAGUUAAAACUUACAACAACGGAUCUCUUGGUUCUG